Molecule: transfer RNA, 73 nt
Filed under: Cryptomonas paramaecium
Lineage: Eukaryota; Cryptophyceae; Cryptomonadales; Cryptomonadaceae
Description: Cryptomonas paramecium tRNA-Thr
Rfam family: tRNA
About the family: Transfer RNA (tRNA) molecules are approximately 80 nucleotides in length. Their secondary structure includes four short double-helical elements and three loops (D, anti-codon, and T loops).
Source: RNAcentral
GCUGGUGUAGCUCAAUAGGCAGAGCAACUGAUUUGUAAUCAGUAGGUUGUGAGUUCAACUCUCUCCACCAGCU